RNAcentral lists this ribosomal RNA (1010 nucleotides) under uncultured Methylobacter pAMC405. Its description in RNAcentral is "bacterial SSU rRNA". It matches the Rfam family "Bacterial small subunit ribosomal RNA", at positions 8 to 1016 of the family's 1533-position model. The record is from RNAcentral. Lineage: Bacteria; Pseudomonadati; Pseudomonadota; Gammaproteobacteria; Methylococcales; Methylococcaceae.
AGAGUUUGAUCAUGGCUCAGAUUGAACGCUGGCGGUAUGCUUAACACAUGCAAGUCGGACGGUAACAGGCCUUCGGGCGCUGACGAGUGGCGGACGGGUGAGUAACGCGUAGGAAUCUGCCUCAUAGUGGGGGACAACUUGGGGAAACUCAAGCUAAUACCGCAUACGCCCUACGGGGGAAAGCGGGGGACCUUCGGGCCUCGCGCUAUGACAUGAGCCUGCGUUAGAUUAGCUAGUUGGUGGGGUAAAAGCCUACCAAGGCGACGAUCUAUAGCUGGUCUGAGAGGACGAUCAGCCACACUGGGACUGAGACACGGCCCAGACUCCUACGGGAGGCAGCAGUGGGGAAUAUUGGACAAUGGGCGCAAGCCUGAUCCAGCAAUACCGCGUGUGUGAAGAAGCCUGAGGGUUGUAAAGCACUUUCAAUUGGGACGAAAACCUGUCGGCCAAUACCCGGCAGCUUGACAUUACCUUUAGAAGAAGCACCGGCUAACUCCGUGCCAGCAGCCGCGGUAAUACGGAGGGUGCGAGCGUUAAUCGGAAUUACUGGGCGUAAAGCGUGCGUAGGCGGUUAUUUAAGUCAGAUGUGAAAGCCCCGGGCUUAACCUGGGAACUGCAUUUGAUACUGGGUAACUAGAGUUUAGUAGAGGAGAGUGGAAUUUCAGGUGUAGCGGUGAAAUGCGUAGAGAUCUGAAGGAACACCAGUGGCGAAGGCGACUCUCUGGACUAAAACUGACGCUGAGGUACGAAAGCGUGGGUAGCAAACAGGAUUAGAUACCCUGGUAGUCCACGCCGUAAACGAUGUCAACUAGCCGUUGGGCCUUUUAACAGGCUUAGUGGCGCAGCUAACGCAUUAAGUUGACCGCCUGGGGAGUACGGCCGCAAGGUUAAAACUCAAAUGAAUUGACGGGGGCCCGCACAAGCGGUGGAGCAUGUGGUUUAAUUCGAUGCAACGCGAAGAACCUUACCUACCCUUGACAUCCAGAGAAUCUGUUAGAGAUAGCGGAGUG